This is a long non-coding RNA of Lagopus leucura (white-tailed ptarmigan), 102 nucleotides long. RefSeq lists it as uncharacterized. The transcript has 2 exons. Lineage: Eukaryota; Metazoa; Chordata; Aves; Galliformes; Phasianidae. The record is from RefSeq and is a predicted model, not a curated record.
UGGUCCUGGUGACUUCAUUUGGUCGGUAUGACGUCAUAUGACGUCUGUAUGAGGUCAUAUGGGGAUUUUUACAUCAUUUGGGGCGUUCUCCGUCAUUUGGUG